GGGGAAUUUUGGACAAUGGGCGAAAGCCUGAUCCAGCAAUGCCGCGUGUGUGAAGAAGGCCUUCGGGUUGUAAAGCACUUUUGUCCGGAAAGAAAUCCCUUGGGAUAAUACCUCGGGGGGAUGACGGUACCGGAAGAAUAAGGACCGGCUAACUACGUGCCAGCAGCCGCGGUAAUACGUAGGGUCCGAGCGUUAAUCGGAAUUACUGGGCGUAAAGCGUGCGCAGGCGGUUUUGUAAGACAGAUGUGAAAUCCCCGGGCUUAACCUGGGAAUUGCAUUUGUGACUGCAAGGCUAGAGUGUGUCAGAGGGGGGUAGAAUUCCACGUGUAGCAGUGAAAUGCGUAGAGAUGUGGAGGAAUACCGAUGGCGAAGGCAGCCCCCUGGGAUAACACUGACGCUCAUGCACGAAAGCGUGGGGAGCAAAC
This 425-nucleotide ribosomal RNA is filed under the name uncultured bacterium. RNAcentral's name for it is "bacterial SSU rRNA". It matches the Rfam family "Bacterial small subunit ribosomal RNA", at positions 356 to 773 of the family's 1533-position model. The record is from RNAcentral.